GGAAAUGAUGAAACCAGCUUCCUUGUCCUCAGAGGCAAGAUGCUGAACAAAU
RNAcentral lists this small nucleolar RNA (52 nucleotides) under Homo sapiens (human). RNAcentral describes it as "small nucleolar RNA, C/D box 154 (SNORD154)". The record is from RNAcentral. Lineage: Eukaryota; Metazoa; Chordata; Mammalia; Primates; Hominidae.